RNAcentral lists this unclassified non-coding RNA (424 nucleotides) under soil metagenome. RNAcentral's name for it is "partial contains 5.8S ribosomal RNA, internal transcribed spacer 2, and large subunit ribosomal RNA". The stretch from base 1 to 120 matches the Rfam family "5.8S ribosomal RNA", at positions 35 to 154 of the family's 154-position model. The record is from RNAcentral.
GAUGAAGAACGUAGCGAAAUGCGAUAAGUAGUGUGAAUUGCAGAAUUCCGUGAAUCAUCGAAUCUUUGAACGCACAUUGCGCCUUCUGGUAUUCCGGAAGGCAUGCCUGUUCGAGAGUCAUUAACAACCGUUUCGAUCCCUUUCUUUCAGAAAUUACAAAGAGGAAAAGGGUUUGGUUAUGGUGGAGGAGGGAAGGGAGCGUUUAGCCUGUAAAAAAAGAGGCUGUGUUCCGCCUCCCCCCCAAAAUUGUACAGGCGGUCGUGUGCGCCCACGCAUCGAGGUGUUGUAAAAGCUGCCACGGCACUUUUCACCUGUGCAGUGCGAGAUUGGCCAGCCGGUUUAAAAACCCCUCCAAACAAUCAAAGGUUGACCUCGGAUCAGGUAGGGAUACCCGCUGAACUUAAGCAUAUCAAUAAGCGGAGGA